CUGUGACAGCCAUUCUGUGGGAGGCACAGCAGUGUGCAGAAAGUUAAUGUCUCCAUAGCAAACCAUGGGGAACUGUGGGUCAGAGACUCUCCAGCAUCCUUGGAAGUGGCCUCUUCACAGUCAUCUGAGAACCUGGAGGAAGAUGCUGUUUACAAGACCCACGUGGAGAAGGACUUCAUUGCUUUCUGCUCUUCAACGCCACACAACGUGUCCUGGAGAGACAGCACAAUGGGCUCUAUCUUCAUCACACAACUCAUCACGUGCUUCCAGAAAUAUUCUUGGUGCUGCCACCUAGAGGAAGUAUUUCGGAAGGUAAGUGUCUCUUUUCUAGUUACUCAUUUAUUUCUUCAGGAAGAAUUUGUCAUGAUUCACUUUUUACUUCACAAUGACAAUUUUUGUCAGGGAAGUGAAAGUAGAGAGGUUCCCAGUUUCUGUCAUUCAGUUGUUUAAAAUAUGGCUAAGGAAAAGACAAUUCCAAUAUAUCCCAGCAGAAGAUCAAAGUAAAAUAAAAUAAUAUCAACCAUAAGCUUUAUGUUAUGGACCGUAAGUUCUUAAGUUUUAGAGAAGGAAAAAUAUUUUGAAAUAAUUUUUAUUUCUUAAUUUAUUAAAUGAAUAAAAUCUGGGUGGUCUGCUAGGUCAUGGAUUUCCUCCUGGUGACAGAGGGGUAAAUGAGGCCUACAUGACGUAAUCCUAUCUAGGACUCACAUUUUCGUGGGAGAUAUGGAUAGGGAAAAUGUGGGUUAACAAACAAAUAUGUGCUUACAGAUUGUG
This 771-nucleotide small RNA is filed under the name Pan troglodytes (chimpanzee). RNAcentral's name for it is "retained intron". The record is from RNAcentral. Lineage: Eukaryota; Metazoa; Chordata; Mammalia; Primates; Hominidae.